RNA transcript from Coregonus clupeaformis (lake whitefish), 485 nucleotides. RefSeq lists it as uncharacterized. NCBI's taxonomy places the organism in Eukaryota, Metazoa, Chordata, Actinopteri, Salmoniformes, Salmonidae. The record is from RefSeq and is a predicted model, not a curated record. The transcript is spliced from 3 exons.
CACCUGCUGUUACCACGACGACACGCUGUCCCUGGGCUCCACCUGCCCGAGCAAUGGAACACACCUCAACACCGUCUACACACACGGCUCCCAGUACGGCUGGGAGGUCAGCGAGGUCAGCCUGGCGGAGUGUGUGGUGGAUUCUGGGAAAGCCAGUGACCUGUCAAUCUGCAGCUGGCCUAUAGAACCCAUCCAGUGGACCCCCUUCCCCCUGCUGAAGCAACUAUCCUCCUCACACAGAACCACCCCGGUGAGGGCGCCGCGUCCUCGCUCCUACUGUGAAGGCAUGGAACUGGUGGAAGUAGAAAAGAGCUGGACAGCCUAGCAACCACGGAACCAUUUAUUGGAGUCAGUCGGCCUAGCAACCACGGAACCAUUUAUUGGAGUCAGUCGGCCUAGCAACCCCGGAACCAUUCAUUGGAGUCAGUCGUGAGGAAAAGUUGAACAACUGAAUCACUGAAUAAACUGUAUCACUGAAUCACUGA